RNAcentral lists this RNase P RNA (399 nucleotides) under Bacteroidota bacterium. Its description in RNAcentral is "RNase P RNA component class A". It matches the Rfam family "Bacterial RNase P class A". Rfam says of the family: Ribonuclease P (RNase P) is a ubiquitous endoribonuclease, found in archaea, bacteria and eukarya as well as chloroplasts and mitochondria. Lineage: Bacteria; Pseudomonadati; Bacteroidota. The record is from RNAcentral. RNAcentral also lists the same sequence under 2 other names.
CGGGAGGUCUCUGUCGCCGCGCCGACGGUAGCGUCGGUGAGGAAAGUCCGGACACCACCACGCAGCGUGCUCGAUAACGUCGAGGCGGCGAUGCCUUCGGGCAAAGCCGACGGAAAGUGCCACAGAAACGACACCGCCUCUGCACCUAUAGCAGAGGUAAGGGUGAAAUGGUGCGGUAAGAGCGCACCGCACACGUGGUGACACGUGUGGCAGGGCAAACCCCACGCGGUGCAAGACCAAGCAGAUGCGGUCGUCCUGUGCGUGGCAGGCGCUUCCGAACUAACGGAAGCACGCAUCGGGUAGGUCGCGCAAGAGGCACACAGUAAUGUGCGGCCCAAGGUUCAUGGCGACACGGUACUACGUACCCGACAGAAUCCGGCUUAUCGGACCUUUCGCCAG